Hemicordylus capensis (graceful crag lizard) is the source of this 470-nucleotide long non-coding RNA. RefSeq lists it as uncharacterized. The transcript has 4 exons. NCBI's taxonomy places the organism in Eukaryota, Metazoa, Chordata, Lepidosauria, Squamata, Cordylidae. The record is from RefSeq and is a predicted model, not a curated record.
CUCGAGUAGGGCCCAAGCAAGCCAGGAAGGAGGAGGCAGCCAGAGUGUUCUCUGCAGCAGAAGACUCCUUGCUGCCCUGCUCAACCCAGACCAGCAUUUGCCAGCUUGGGACCUGGUUAUCUGAAUCCUGCCUCCAUGUCAACUUGCCUAUGCAUUGAGAUCACCAUUGGAUCCAGGUGUCCCUGCCAUGAGUAGGAGCCUCCCAUGGUGAGACAAGGCAGACCCAGAAGAGUACAUAACUCCUUUAAAUGCUGCUGGAAAGGCAGAGAGGAAAAUAUCAUCAUCAGCCCUUACAGCUAGAAUAUUUAAAUGCUUGAGGAAGAAGUUCACUCCUGAUCUAUCGCCACUUGCAUAUUUGUGUGCAUCCUCUUUUACAGCCGAGCAGGAAGAAGACAUGUUCACUUGAACAUGCAGAAAGAGAGCUAGCUGUCUGAGAGCACAGAUCAAGGCAUAGAGAAAGACAAGUGUGG